This is a long non-coding RNA of Bombus impatiens (common eastern bumble bee), 98 nucleotides long. RefSeq lists it as uncharacterized. The record is from RefSeq and is a predicted model, not a curated record. The transcript is spliced from 3 exons. NCBI's taxonomy places the organism in Eukaryota, Metazoa, Arthropoda, Insecta, Hymenoptera, Apidae.
UCCUUUCUCAAUUUUUCACGCAACUUGAAUAUUCCAUCGUCCCAGAAAUUUUCAGGUUUUUCGGCGAAAAACUUUUCAAUAUGAUUUUUUACUUCGAG